Molecule: ribosomal RNA, 253 nt
Filed under: uncultured bacterium
Lineage: Bacteria
Description: partial 16S ribosomal RNA
Rfam family: Bacterial small subunit ribosomal RNA
Source: RNAcentral
UACGGAGGGGGCAAGCGUUACUCGGAAUUAUUGGGCGUAAAGGGCGCGUAGGCGGCCGAUCAAGUCAGAUGUGAAAGUCCUGGGCUUAACCUGGGGACUGCAUUUGAUACUGAUUGGCUUGAAUUCGGGAGAGGAUAGCGGAAUUCCCAGUGUAGAGGUGAAAUUCGUAGAUAUUGGGAAGAACACCGGUGGCGAAGGCGGCUAUCUGGACCGACAUUGACGCUGAUGCGCGAAAGCGUGGGGAGCAAACAGG